GAACUGAGAACAGCUGAUGUUGAACUGGUUGCUAAGAAGGUGUCAUGUAGCAUAUUGGCUUAUAUAAACUCUUUGUGGUGAUUACAAAAUAGCUUCUUAUCUCUGUGGAUGUGCAACUCCUGAAACAUAAAGCUUGAGGACACAUGUACUAACUUAAUGUUUGUUGAAGACUUCUUGUCAAUUUUAUUAAGCUAUACUCAACCAAAAGAUGUACCCAGGUCCUAGGUCACUGACUGUUCAUGGUAUGCUGAUAGCUUCAAGACAUGACUGGUCAGGGAGCUAGAUAUUCUCAUCUAGGCACCCUUUUCCAUGAAAGGUUGAACCAGAUUAUCUUUUCAGACCCAUUCCAUCUGGGACUGUUCUGUGAUUCAUAGCAGCCCCCUAGGAAAUGAGGAAAGCUAUGAGAAACAGUCUCGAUUUCUACUGAGAUGUGGGCAUCAAUAGUUAGGGUUCCAGCAAGGGAAAUCUACUGAGCAGUUUAUAUCUAGACCACACUUUACCAUUCAAGUAGCCAAAUUCUAAAUGACAAAAAGUUUCCCGUUGUUUUUUCUCUUACAUUAAUGAAGAUACAGAAGAAUAGCUGCAGUGCUGCUUCAGCUCUUCUGGCUAGGUAACUAUGGUGAAGGUGUCUGUCCCCAUUAAGGAACAGGAUUUACACACAGAUUAAAAUUUACUUAAAAUCAGUACCUCAUGUCCCUCCACCAGGUAUGGAGCUACCACUCUUCUAUACAAAGGCAGACAUCACUACACAGGAGAGCUGCACAGAGAGUGUGUCUGGGAGUAAGCACCCUCCUCAUGGACCUCAGGAACCAGCAUACAGAUACUGCUGCAACACAAAUGUCUGUGCAGAGCAUCUCCAAGGACAGCUAUGAGCAGGGAUGAGGGAGACCUUUCUUGGGGGCUCCCCAAAACCCGGCGGUGGAAGCGAGAUCUCGCCCUGACGAAAACCCCUCGCUAGGCGGGCGCGAAGAGGUGUGCAGUGACCUCCCGCUGAUUUGGCGUUGCUUUGGGGCUUUCUUGGUUUUGCUUUGUUUUGUUUGUUAGUUUGUUUUGCCAGAGCAAACGCAAAAGAGGGGGAAAAAAUGAAAAAAAA
Molecule: long non-coding RNA, 1093 nt
Filed under: Anas platyrhynchos platyrhynchos (common mallard)
Lineage: Eukaryota; Metazoa; Chordata; Aves; Anseriformes; Anatidae
Description: lncRNA (ENSAPLG00000020339.1)
Source: RNAcentral